RNAcentral lists this ribosomal RNA (301 nucleotides) under uncultured bacterium. RNAcentral describes it as "partial 16S ribosomal RNA". It matches the Rfam family "Bacterial small subunit ribosomal RNA", at positions 509 to 808 of the family's 1533-position model. The record is from RNAcentral.
CAGCAGCCGCGGUAAUACGAAGGGUGCAAGCGUUACUCGGAAUUACUGGGCGUAAAGCGUGCGUAGGUGGUGGUUUAAGUCCGCUGUGAAAGCCCUGGGCUCAACCUGGGAAUUGCAGUGGAUACUGGCGAGCUAGAGUGUGUCAGAGGAUGGUGGAAUUCCCGGUGUAGCGGUGAAAUGCGUAGAGAUCGGGAGGAACAUCAGUGGCGAAGGCGGCCAUCUGGGACAACACUGACGCUGAGGCACGAAAGCGUGGGGAGCAAACAGGAUUAGAUACCCCGGUAGUCCCUGUCUUUAUACC